CCCUGCUCGUGUCUGCCCAGGAGGCGCCCCGGGCGCCAUACCCACUGGACACUGUGGACCGACGGGCAGGGCAGAACCUCGGUCCACAGCGGGGCUUCCCGGGGCUGUCUGGGGGCACGGGGAUGUCUCAGGUCCGGGGUUGCUGGUUCCGGCAGCCUGGGCUGGGGGCAGGGAAGGUUAAGGCGCCCCGGCGACGUCCUCUCCGGUCAGGGAAGACCCACAGGCGCUGCAUCUUCUAACAAUGCCGUGCCAACAGCCCUGCUCCCUGGGGACCUUCCCUGAGCACAGAGGAAGGUGGCGCUGCUCAGCAGUGCCCCGUGUCCCUUCACCUGUCCACACCCCCUGGGAGGGCCCUGCAGGCGGCUGGGCCCUCUGGGGAGAUCUGCCCCCACCUCUGUGCCCCCAAAGGGCUGAGAAAGUGGAGACCUCACACCUGCACUUUAAUUCUUUCAAAAGUAAAAUUUGCACAAUUUCCCUUAAAAAGCUGAUUACGGACUUUACUCGUCGCCUGCUUUGCUCCAUUCAGGGCUGGGCACCAUCAACUGACAGCCUAAAUGAGCUUCUGUGCAAACAUUUUAAAAGGGCAGACUGUCCUCCAGUGAGCUAAGUCCCCUUGCAUGACUGGCCACUGGCCACAGCCAUGGAUGGAGGGCUGGGAUGUGCCAGGGGCGUCCAGCCCAAUCCUGCAGGAGGCACGGAGAAGGGGGCUCCCGGCUGGCUCCCCCAGACCUAAUAGCCAGUCUCAGCCGGCCAGGUCCCAGCCUGUGCCCCCUUCCAGGGUCCCCUCCCCACCCAGAGGGGGUUCUUCGGUGCUGAAACGCUGACCUCCUUGUGCUCCUGUCAGACUGCUCUGCACGGCUGACUGUCCUGGGCAUGGUCCCCUUUGUCCCCUGAGAGCGUGAAGGAGCUAAUCCAUCCAUGACGAAGGGCCCAGGCGUGGAGCCUACCAGGAGCUGUGAACAUUCUAAUGUCUUCCUUCGCGCUUGGUGACGCUCCAUGCUGCAGGUAUUCUGAGUCUGGAAGGAAGCAGCUGUCGGUGUGGACUGUGAGGACAUGCACACUGAUUCUCCAAGGGGCUUGUGCCCCCUCCACUCUCCUCCACAGCCGCUCCACUCAGCGCUGGGGCUGGUAGAAGCAAUCAAGAUGUCCUGGAGCAACGAUGGAUAGCAAAGAAGCUGCCCCCACUGUGGCCCUAAAAGGUAGUUUCUGGGAGUCGUGAACUUGUCAUCUCUCAACUCUCUUCUCUUCCAUGAGGACUUCAUUCAGAGUCUUCAUGUGGUGGGAAGACUUCUGAGAGCCGUUUCAGGUUCAAGUGGGUUUCAGAGGCCUUAGUCCAUAGAAGGCCAGCUCCAUCCCACGGGGCCCACGGUGAGGCUGAACAUCAUGGCGAGAGAGCGUGGCAGAGGGAAGCAGCUCACAGGGUGCUCAAGAAGCAGAGAGAGGGCGAGUAUCAUUUCUAUCACCCCCUACAGCAGGAACUGGCACACAGUAGGUGCUUAACUGAUGUAAGAAAACAAGAGCCCACACCACCCUGGCCCGCAUCCCCUCAGUGUCUCUGAGCAUCCCUGAACUUGGAGGUUGCACCAAGGUGAGCUGGCCCUCGCUGUCCUCCUGACCUUGGAAGUCUUAGGCUGGCGACUGGGAGAUCCUGUCCACCUCCAUGCCCCUGACCCAGUCCUCCUGGGUGAGCUAUCCUCUAUGGCUAGCUCCUCCACCUCCAUUUUCUGGGGCACAAAACUGACCUUGAACUUCCUGGGCAUAGCUCAGCCUAGGAUGCACAGACAACUCAACCCUGAUCUAGCUGCUCGCUGGUCUCAGCCCCUCUCUUCUGCUUGGGUCCUGGGAGCAAAUGCAUCUGAAAACCUGCGUGGAGAAGCCAGUGACCAAGUCCACAGACGAAGGGCGUCCCUUUCCAAGCACCUGGGUGUUUACCAAACUGAGAGCCAAACGUGUGUUCCCAUCCCAGCCUCACACUUGGUUGAAUUCUGCUCUGUCCCUGACAGGGGCUUCAGCCUGGAGGAGUGUUCAGAAACACAGGGAUGAGAUUUCGAGAGCUGUGACCUAAUCGUGCAUCCGGGUUCCAAUGACGUGGUGACCAUGGCAGGUGCCUGUGGCUGGAGGAGGAGGGUCCCUGGAGCCAGUCCUGGGAGGGUGCUCUUGGAAGACACCUGGACACUCCUCUCCCCUUGUCUUGGUGUCACCAAGAGUGCAGAGCAGGGGCCAGCCAUGUGACUGCAGGGACAGCAAGAGGAAGAAACCAGGACUUCAGGCCUGGGCUCUGGGUGCCUGGACAUCCAUUCAGCCUCCGGAAGGCUCCCUUGCCGUUCAUGUGACAUGUAAAGCCCUGGCCUCUCCACUGCGGAUCCACCCAGUCCCUGUGUGGUGGGGUGCUGGGGCCGUGGCUGUGGGUCUUGUGCCCAGUGCAGGGAGGCCUUCUGCCUCCCCAUAUGGCCCUGGGCAGAAGGCAGCAUAAGCCCUGGAGGUGUGGGGCAGCUCAGAGAGAGCCGCAGAAGGGAGGUCACCGCACAGCUCCACUGUGCAGAUGGAAUCCAUUCAUCUGGAUGAGCAGAGGGAACUUGGCAGAGAGGAGUAAAUGCAAAGUACUGGAGGGUGCAGUCCACUUGGAAGAUGGGCUGAGUGGGUGCUGGUUUGUCGUUGAUCCCCGAGAACCCAUGAACGGCCAAACUCGGGCACCGGAAGCCUUUUUUCCCACGAUUGAGUUGGGCGUUCAAGCACAAUCACCGUGUUUAACAUGCAGAAGUUGGAACUCCAUUCUUGGAUUUUGUGUGUUUGAAUGUGGCAUUUUGAAUUCUUUUGUAUGACAAAAGACAGAAAGUGUCAAACACAAAUUAACAUUUCUAACAAAAGGACUGUCCAUCAAGUGAGGGACGCAUUUCACGAGACGUAUAAGCACGAUGAGUCAGUAGCAUGGAAACGCCUAAAACAGGAUGCUGGGGAGUCGAGCACCCCGGGACUGCAGUGAGCCCUGUAGGCUACCUGGACAGCACAGAAGGAGAGCCGCAGGGCUGCCCUGUCCUGGACCCUGACCCUUCAUUCUUAGGCCACAGAAGCAGGUUUGCUGUGGUCAUUUCAGCGCUUGGUGCUGGAGGACACCCAGUAAGCUUCUUCAAGAAAGAGCACACAGACCUGGGCUCAUUUAACAGCCCUUUGCAGAAUUAAUAAUCCUGCCAUGUGCAAAGGAUUUGCCUAAGCAUUGUGCAGGAAUAAGAGGUCCCUGCCCCUAGAAGAUGGACAAUAGGUCACCACACUAAAAAGACGGAGAGAGGUAAUUUACAGAAUAAUGUACACCAUGGAGGGACUUAAGCCAGAACCCAGGUAGGGUUCCAAGAGGACAGAUGGUGCAAAGGCCCUGAGGCAGGGCCCCACUGGCAAGUCCAAGGGGAAGCAACGCCAGGCCGUGGCGGCCUGCUGUGAGGACCAGGGAGGUUGGCAGAUGGAGGCAGCAGGGUCAGAUCAGGCAAAACCCAUUAGGUCAUGGCCUGGAGUCUACACAUAUAUUAUCUUACCUUUAAUCAGCCUUGUUGAGAUUAAAUCUAUGUACAACAAAAUAACUAAUUUUGAGUAUGCAAUUUGGGGGGUUCUGCAGGACUAGGGAAACUCCACUAUAACCCUGAUGUUGCAGGCUUCCAUAACCCGAGAAAGUCACCCCCUGCUGAGUGUGGUGGCCCGGCCUGUGAUCCUCGACCAGGAGGCUGAGGCAGGAGGAUACAAGUUCAAGUCCACCUGGGGAACUCAGUGAGACCCUGUCUCAAAACAAAGUAAAAAAGGGGCUGGGAUGUGGCUCA
Molecule: non-coding RNA, 3806 nt
Organism: Ictidomys tridecemlineatus (thirteen-lined ground squirrel)
Lineage: Eukaryota; Metazoa; Chordata; Mammalia; Rodentia; Sciuridae
Source: RefSeq, a predicted model, not a curated record